UACGAAGGGGGCUAGCGUUGCUCGGAAUCACUGGGCGUAAAGGGCGCGUAGGCGGCCAUUCAAGUCAGGGGUGAAAGCCUGUGGCUCAACCACAGAAUUGCCUUUGAUACUGUUUGGCUAGAGACCGGAAGAGGUAAGUGGAACUGCGAGUGUAGAGGUGAAAUUCGUAGAUAUUCGCAAGAACACCAGUGGCGAAGGCGGCUUACUGGUCCGGUUCUGACACUGAGGCGCGAAAGCGUGGGGAGCAAACAGG
RNAcentral lists this ribosomal RNA (253 nucleotides) under uncultured bacterium. RNAcentral describes it as "partial 16S ribosomal RNA". It matches the Rfam family "Bacterial small subunit ribosomal RNA", at positions 524 to 776 of the family's 1533-position model. The record is from RNAcentral.